AUUACGCCACUUCAGGUAGACUGAUGGAACGAGGUGAAGAGAAGGCUUGGAUCUGUUUUACAUACUAAUUCCAACAGUAUGAGCUCUCCGUAUUUUCAUCAAC
This is a long non-coding RNA of Haliotis rubra (blacklip abalone), 103 nucleotides long. RefSeq lists it as uncharacterized. The transcript has 3 exons. NCBI's taxonomy places the organism in Eukaryota, Metazoa, Mollusca, Gastropoda, Lepetellida, Haliotidae. The record is from RefSeq and is a predicted model, not a curated record.